Molecule: ribosomal RNA, 117 nt
Filed under: Danio rerio (zebrafish)
Lineage: Eukaryota; Metazoa; Chordata; Actinopteri; Cypriniformes; Danionidae
Source: RNAcentral
UGCCACAGACAUAUCACACUGCAGCCCAAGACCGGCUACUCACUGAAGCUGAGCAGGGCCGAGACCAGUCAGAACCUGAAUGGGAGACCACAUGGGAAAACUAGGCUUCUGUCUGAA